CGGAGGGAGCUAGCGUUGUUCGGAAUUACUGGGCGUAAAGCGCACGUAGGCGGCUUUGUAAGUUAGAGGUGAAAGCCUGGAGCUCAACUCCAGAACUGCCUUUAAGACUGCAUCGCUUGAAUCCAGGAGAGGUGAGUGGAAUUCCGAGUGUAGAGGUGAAAUUCGUAGAUAUUCGGAAGAACACCAGUGGCGAAGGCGGCUCACUGGACUGGUAUUGACGCUGAGGUGCGAAAGCGUGGGGAGCAAACAGGAUU
This 254-nucleotide ribosomal RNA is filed under the name uncultured bacterium. RNAcentral describes it as "partial 16S ribosomal RNA". It matches the Rfam family "Bacterial small subunit ribosomal RNA", at positions 526 to 779 of the family's 1533-position model. The record is from RNAcentral.